UCGGGUGCUGCCGCCAUCGGCGCUGUCGUUCGACACGCAGCCCCGGCGCGGGGUUGGUGGUCGUGGACGCCGCCGCCACCAUUAGCGCGCUGCGCCGGUGCUCCUGUCUCUUGCAUGCCUGUUGUUCUCGUCUCUUUUGGUUCCUUUGGUUCCUUUGGUUCUUUGCUCGUCGUCUUUUUUUUUCUGCCGGUUUGCUUGGGUCGGUCUGGGUCGGGCGCGGGCGCCUGUGUGCCUCGGUACUUUUUGUCGGUCGGUGGGUUCCCUCUGGCGCGUCGUGCCGCACGCUUUCCCUCUGUGGGGGGCGCGCUUCUUUUCCCUUUCCGGUUACUCGCCACCGGGCGCUGCUCACUGCGCAGCCUCCAC
Molecule: long non-coding RNA, 363 nt
Filed under: Pandoravirus salinus
Description: putative ncRNA
Source: RNAcentral